AUGUUUCCAGCACCUGAGCCUCAUCUCACGGACCAAGAAGACCAGAACUUGGCAGAAAGCAACUUCUUGGAGCUCCUACAAUCAAUGUGGCAGCAUGGGGACAGCGAAGAAGAGGAUGACUUUAAAGAAACUGCUGGAGAGGAAAGAGACAUGGAAGAGGAGCGAGAGGGAGGACAUGGAGAGAAAGAGGACCAGGUGGAUGAGGAAGAGCUUGAUGAGAUCUAUGAGUUUGCAGCGACACAAAGGAAGAUAGAGACGAUGUUGGAGACUGCAACCGAGGAAGAGGAAGAGGAGGGAGAUGCAAAUACAUUCCUUGGAAAUGAGAAGGAUGAAGGGAAGGAGAAAAACAACACCGAAUCCCAUUUAGAGAAAUCUGCCGGCAGUUGCUAUAGUAACAAACAAGGCACGGAUGGGACGGAGGCUGCCAUGGUAACAAGUCCAACAGAAACCCUUAAAAACCCCAAUUUUUGUUUGAUUCCAGAAUUAGAUGAAAACAAAGACUCAGAUGCCAGUCUAGACAAGAGUUAUGAAGGUUUAUUCUCCCAGUCUGUUGGGGAAUACAUGGAACCGUCACAGACGCAAGCGUCCUGCUCUCAGCAACAAUGUUACAAGCCAUCAAGCACACUACAGCAAAAUACACCCGCCCCAUUUCGCCCUUCAUGUGUCAGUGAGGUGAUUGACCUGUCUAUAAGCCCUCCACCAAGCUCAGGUGUGUCAGGUGAGACUUCCUUCCCCAUGCCUGGAGUGUCUCCUGUUCUACAUGAGGGUGAAUAUACAGGUAAGUCUCCACUAAGAAAAGACAGUUCAGGAUGCCAGGGAAUUGAAAACCCUCCUUCCCCUCCAGAAUCUCAAAGCAAGCAGGUUGAGCUCAUUGUUCUCUCAGAUUCCGGUGAUGAAAUGGAUAUAGAUGACAGUGACCAAAAUGCUGCUACCACUAAACUUGCUUUGACUCCUCCGUCUCCUUGCGAAUCUCUCUCAGAACCUCCUCAGAGGUCCUCAAGCUAUGCUUGUAAAGUCAAAGAGAACAGUUUCAAAGAAUCUGGAUCCCAAGGCCAUGCCGGCAAACAGGUAGAUGUUUUCAAGCAGAUAGAUACUGAUAUAGAAGCAAAGUCUGACCGAUCAGAGCACUGUAGCCCCGGGGUUGAGAAUGAAAGUGUGUUUGAUGGCUCUGCCGAGGUUUCCUGGCUGAUUCCAGCCACUCCAGUACCAUCCACACGCUGUAGCUCUGCCCAGACCUGCAUCAGCAUGCGCCGAACCCAGCUCUUCCCCAAGUCAUCGUCCUCUUCUUCUUCUUCCUCUGUCUCGGAGGGUUUAAAACCUGCUAGCUCUGCUUCUUCAAGCAGCAGCUGCCUAAAAGAGAAACCAGCAACCUUGUCCAAAUUGCACAAAUCAUAUCAGAGUCCCUCUAAAGAAUGUCAUAGCAUUGAAACAGAUCGCUCUCCAGGUUAUCAGAGACCACUUCACCAUCUAAGACUGUCUCAGGUUUCUUCUACAGAUGUUUCUGAUGGCUCCCACAUUGGCAUCAUCAUGGGACAUCCAACACAGGGUGUCCCCAAGCCCUCCAGUAGCACUCCUCUCCAUUCAGACUCUUCCUUACAACAUCAGAACCCAUUUUGCUCCCCUAUGGUUGACGACCGUGAGGUUCGGCUUAGGAAUUGUAGAGGUAAUUCUAGAUCCUUCGGUAGGCAGGGGAAAGUUGACCUAGUGUCUUUACAAUGGAGUUCUCCUAGUAAAACGCCUGAGAAGCAGCAGAGUAGCUCUCUUCAGCAGGGAUGCUCCAGUCCGUCCUCGAACUCUCCAAGAUACAUUCAUCCAGAAAGUUUGAGAGAGAGUGAGAACGAUGGGAUAGAACGAAUGGAAUUGGGAGAGAAUCCAAAUCAGAGUGUUGAAGAAUUGGUGGAUAUUGCGGGAAACUCCUCCUGUGACAUGGAUGAGACUGGAAGAGGAGUGAGAGAAGAGAAUCCAAAUCAAAGUGUUGACGAAGUGGUUGAUAUUGCAGGAAACUCAUUUUGUGUCAUGGAUGAGCCUCCUAUAGCGUUUGAUGACUCCUGGGGUCUGGAUGGAGGGUUUGGAAGCCAGAAGCCCUGCUUUAGUCUAAGACUUGACAGCAGUAGAGUUGCAGUCAGUCCACCAGGUCUCGAGGGUAAGGGACCAACGUCCACGUCUCCUCUUGCAACUGGAGCUUGUAACAAAACUCCUGAUCAAAGUCCAGGUCCAUUUAAUCACAGCCUACCUGACCCUGACAUGUGGGAUGAUUGGGAGGAAGAGGAGGUUGCUCCCCUUCCUCUUUCUCAGAGAUUGACAGCUCCCUCUGCCAAGAGAGUUGCCGAACUAAAGACUCCAGGUAAGACAAGUCGUCCUCUGUGUUAG
Molecule: long non-coding RNA, 2370 nt
Filed under: Sinocyclocheilus grahami
Lineage: Eukaryota; Metazoa; Chordata; Actinopteri; Cypriniformes; Cyprinidae
Description: lncRNA (ENSSGRG00000055101.1)
Source: RNAcentral